UAUCUCUGUAGAGUCUGCAUAUCAAUAAGCGGAGGAAAAGAAACUAACUAGGAUUCCCUCAGUAACGGCGAGUGAAGCGGGAAGAGCUCAAAUUUGAAAUCUUCAAGGUUCUACCUUGACGAAUUGUAGUUUAAAGAAGUGUUUUCUGUUGGAGUUUUGGUAAAAGUUCUUUGGAAUAGGACAUCAUAGAGGGUGAGAAUCCCGUAUUUGACCAUUAUUUCCAACUUUGUGAUACACUUUCAAAGAGUCGGAUUGUUUGGGAAUGCAGUCCAAAAUGGGUGGUAAAUUUCAUCUAAAGCUAAAUACUGGCGAGAGACCGAUAGCGAACAAGUACCGUGAGGGAAAGAUGAAAAGAACUUUGAAAAGAGAGUUAAACAGUACGUGAAAUUGUCAAAAGGGAAGCGUUUGACACCAGUGUUGUUUUCUCGAAAAUCAAUUAAAAAUGGCGGGAUUUUGUGUUGUAUUGACUUUAUCAGCUUUCUGCACUUUUUUCCUGUCUUUUUUAAUGCACUUUUCGUUUAACAAGUCAACAUCAAUUUCUUUUGUUGUAAAAGGGUCAUUGGAAGGUGGCUUUCUUUUCGGAGAAAGUGUUUAUAGCCUUUGACUUCUGCAAUCGGAGAGAUUGAGGUCUGCAGCGUAGAUCCUUCGGGGUUAGAUGCAUUUGUGCUAAGUUAUAGCCUUUCAUAGACAACUUGUUGACUAUGAUCAGUCAUGUAGCUUACUCGCUUAUGUCAUUUUACCUACGCUUAGGAUGUUGAUCUCUCACAGUCGGC
This 773-nucleotide ribosomal RNA is filed under the name uncultured Neocallimastigales. RNAcentral's name for it is "partial large subunit ribosomal RNA". It matches the Rfam family "Eukaryotic large subunit ribosomal RNA", at positions 24 to 644 of the family's 3401-position model. The record is from RNAcentral. Lineage: Eukaryota; Fungi; Neocallimastigomycota; Neocallimastigomycetes; Neocallimastigales.